RNAcentral lists this long non-coding RNA (1714 nucleotides) under Capsicum annuum. Its description in RNAcentral is "long non-coding RNA (CANN_LNC012405)". The record is from RNAcentral. Lineage: Eukaryota; Viridiplantae; Streptophyta; Magnoliopsida; Solanales; Solanaceae.
CAGGAGAAAUGGAUCGAUUGUAGGAGCAACAAAAGCUUCAUUCCUUGGAGGGAGAAGAUUGAGAGUAAGCAAUGUACCUGUAGCCGGAUCACCGCGUGCUGCAACUACAGUGUGUGUUGCUGCCGACCCCGACAGACCCCUCUGGUUCCCUGGCAGCGUCCCUCCUCCAUGGCUUGAUGGCAGGUCAGUCAUGAUCCAGCUAGUAUAUCAUACUGUGUAUAUUUAUCAGGUGAAAGUUCACGCAAUCAAUCAAUCAAGCUAUUAAAAUUCCUCGAUCUAGCUAGUAUUAUAUAGUUUUUUUGGCAUAAUAUAUAUAGACGGACACUUAAACUUACCCUCAACCGAUAAGUAAGCACUCUAAUUUUGUGCACAUUUAGAUACCUCAACUUGAUUUUAACUAGCAACUAAACACUCCAACUUAUACUUACUGUGUCUCGUGAAUGCCCCACACUGAUGUGACUGGUACAGUGGAUACGAGCUGAGGUAUCUAGAUGUGUAUACUCAAAGUUGGAGUAGUUACUUGUCAGUUGAGGUCAAGUUUGAGUGCCUGUUUAUGUGUUAUGCCUUUUUAAAAAAAAGAAUAAUUGGAGUAGGAAAAGGGGAUUACAAGAUGGAAAAUCUAAAGCUCACCAAUAAGGUGAAAGUUCAUGUAAUCAAUCGACUGAACUACUGAGAUUUUCUAAUCUAUAUGCUGAAAUUAUUUUAUUCUUCUUCGUUUUGCAGCCUUCCCGGAGAUUUUGGUUUCGAUCCUCUUGGCCUAGGUAUAUAUCAGUCUAAUUCUGAUUUUUCAAUUUAGGAUACAUACAGAAGGGAAGCCUUGGAGUAACUGGUAAAGUUGCUGUCAUGUGACCAGAAGGUCAUGGGGUCAAGCCUUGGAAACAGCCCCUUGCAGAAAUGUAAGGUGAGGCUACGUACAAUAGAUCUUUGUGGUCGGGCACUUCCCCGGACUCUGCGCAUAGCGGGAGCUUAGUGCACCUGCCCCUUUAGUAUUGGAUAUAUAUAGAAGGGGAGCCUUGGAGUAACUGGUAAAGUUGCUGCCAUGUGACCAGGAGGUCACGGGGUCAAUCCUUGGAAACAUCCCCUUGCAGAAAUGUAAGGUGAGGCUACGUACAAUAGAUCCUUGUGGUCGGGCCCUUCCCGGGACCCUACGCAUAGCGGGAGCUUAGUACACCGGGCUACCCUUCAGUAUUGGAUAUAUAUAGAUGUCUAUAGAUAUAACUUGUGUAUAUCAUUUGAGUACAGGAUCUGACCCAGAGAGCUUGAGAUGGAACCAACAGGCAGAGAUUGUACACUGCAGAUGGGCAAUGUUGGGAGCUGCAGGAAUUUUCAUUCCAGAAUUCCUCACGAAACUCGGUAUCCUUAACACACCUUCAUGGUACACUGCUGGUGAACUAGAAUACUUCACGGACACAACGACUCUCUUCAUCAUUGAGUUGAUACUUAUCGGUUGGGCCGAGGGAAGAAGGUGGGCCGAUAUCAUCAAGCCUGGUUGUGUAAACACUGACCCUAUCUUCCCUAACAACAAGCUCACAGGGACAGACGUUGGUUAUCCAGGAGGCUUAUGGUUUGAUCCGUUGGGUUGGGGUUCGGGUUCACCUGAGAAGAUAAAGGAGUUGAGGACAAAGGAGAUCAAGAACGGUAGACUUGCUAUGUUAGCCGUUAUGGGCGCAUGGUUCCAACACAUUUACACUGGAACAGGUCCUAUUGACAACCU